UUGGACAAUGGUAGGAGAGCGUUCUAAGGGCGUUGAAGCAUGAUCGCAAGGACAUGUGGAGCGCUUAGAAGUGAGAAUGCCGGUGUGAGUAGCGAAAGACGGGUGAGAAUCCCGUCCACCGAUUGACUAAGGUUUCCAGAGGAAGGCUCGUCCGCUCUGGGUUAGUCGGGUCCUAAGCUGAGGCCGACAGGCGUAGGCGAUGGAUAACAGGUUGAUAUUCCUGUACCACCAUUAUUCGUUUUAAGCGAUGGGGGGACGCAGUAGGAUAGGCGAAGCGUGCUGUUGGAGUGCACGUCCAAGCAGUGAGAUUGAGUGUUAGGCAAAUCCGGCACUCUUAAGAUUGAGCUGUGAUGGGGAGAGGAACUUCUUCCUCGAGUCGUUGAUUUCACACUGCCGAGAAAAGCCUCUAGCUAGAAUAACGGUGCCCGUACCGCAAACCGACACAGGUAGUCAAGAUGAGAAUUCUAAGGUGAGCGAGCGAACUCUCGUUAAGGAACUCGGCAAAAUGACCCCGUAACUUCGGGAGAAGGGGUGCUCUUUGAGGUUCACGCUUCGAAGAGCCGCAGUGAAUAGGCCCAAGCGACUGUUUAUCAAAAACACAGGUCUCUGCUAAACCGUAAGGUGACGUAUAGGGGCUGACGCCUGCCCGGUGCUGGAAGGUUAAGAGGAGUGGUUAGCGCAAGCGAAGCUACGAAUCGAAGCCCCAGUAAACGGCGGCCGUAACUAUAACGGUCCUAAGGUAGCGAAAUUCCUUGUCGGGUAAGUUCCGACCCGCACGAAAGGCGUAACGAUUUGGGCACUGUCUCAACGAGAGACUCGGUGAAAUCAUAGUACCGGUGAAGAUGCCGGUUACCCGCGACAGGACGGAAAGACCCCGUGGAGCUUUACUGUAGCCUGAUAUUGAAAUUCGGUACAGUUUGUACA
RNAcentral lists this ribosomal RNA (924 nucleotides) under Staphylococcus pseudintermedius. RNAcentral describes it as "partial 23S ribosomal RNA". It matches the Rfam family "Bacterial large subunit ribosomal RNA", at positions 1218 to 2140 of the family's 2925-position model. The record is from RNAcentral. Lineage: Bacteria; Bacillati; Bacillota; Bacilli; Caryophanales; Staphylococcaceae.